Long non-coding RNA from Equus asinus (donkey), 4518 nucleotides. The record is from Ensembl. NCBI's taxonomy places the organism in Eukaryota, Metazoa, Chordata, Mammalia, Perissodactyla, Equidae.
AGGACGUGCAGGAGGCUCUCACCUCCUCACCCAUCUCCAGGGUGCACGGGGGCUGAGCUGACCUCUGUCCCCUCUUGCUGCCACUUGGGGGGGUCAGGCACAGAUAGUGUCCCCUGCAGCAGGAAGGGGGCUGCCCACCGGCGUCAGGUGACCCUCUCUGCACAGAGCUGGGAUGCGCUAUCCCCACGCCCAGCUGCUGAGUUGGGGAUUUCCUGCAGCAGAGAGGGGCGGCCUGGCUGCCCGGGUCUCCAGGUUAGGGAUCUAGAGCUCAGGAGGCCUCUCAGAACGUUCUUGCUCCCCGUCUUUCGUCCUUCGUCACGCACGGGGGGCCUCUGUUCCCAUGGGCACUCGAGCCUCCCUCUAUUGCCUUCUCUCUCAGCAGUUCUUUGGGGCUGGCUCUGGGGCCAUCUUGGUCCCCAUUGCUCUCUUUUGUGUCUUAGAUGGGGAAGGGUGGUGGCCAGUCCCGCCUUCCUCUCCAUCCUCCUCCUUCGCCGAGCAGCGUGUUGGUAAAUGUUUCUGGUUUACUUGGUUGAAUGUCUCCAUUGUUUAUAAUACUCUGCUCUGAGAAAUUCUCUUCAGUCGUUGUUAUUUGUGGCGUGUGCUUCAAGGUCAUCUGCUCACAACUUGAUAGUCGCAGAGACUACUCCCAAGUAUUGCCCACCGUCCUUCACAGUUUACAAGUACUUUCUGGGUUUCUCUCUUAUUUAACUCUUAGGCAUUUUCUCAUGUGGCUUUAAAAUCCGACAGCCCGUGGCUUUCCCCUCUGAUCCCAGCUCUGCUCUCUGGGCCCGUGGACCCUGCGUGCUCCCUCUGCCUGGGGACAGCCUGGCAGGGAUAGGAAGGCAGCGAUCUGAUCCCUCUGAGGCUGCUCUUCUCCACAGGGAGCAGCUCGUGCCUUGACAUGGGAUCCAGCACUGGACCUGAAUUGCCUUUGACCUCCCACUUCCCGGUUACUGCCUCUAUUAAUGUAGCCUCAGAAUGAAUGAGCUUGUCCUGAGCAACGCCCGCGAAUUUUGCUGAGGCACGUCCACCAACAGUGCCAUGCUCUUCCUUGAGCCUGGCGAUGGCUCAGCCGACACAGCAGACAGCCCAGGAGCUGAUCCAGGCGCCAGACUAGGAGGACCACUUGGCCUCCUUUGAGCCUCACAUCGCCCCUGCGUGGGAGAUAGUCCAGACAAAACUCAACAGGCUGCAGUUGGGACCUGGACCCAUUUGAAGUCAGAGCCCUCUCUGGACCCCGUGCUGUAGCCUCCAACAAGUAUUCUGAAGUUGUGGGUCCACCACCCUCCUCUUUCUCCCAGUGUUCCAACCAAGGGACACUGGCCUCUGGAGCCCUGGCACAGCCAUGGCUCCCAUUCUUGAGCCACGUUCCUGGGCUGGCUGCAAGCCCCCCAGCCUGGCUUUCUGAGUGCCAGUUAUUUACUGAGUAUGUCCUGAUGCCUGAGGCAGAUCCCUGACUCAAGGAGCUCACAUGUCUCUAUUGCUAUUUCUGUGGAGGGAAUAGGGACUCUAACCCUCACAGGUGUACAUCACUUUACAGGUUACAAAGCCCAUCACCUCAAUUAAUUCUCACAGCAACCCUGGAAGGUAGGUAUUAUUGUCCCCAUUAUAGGUAAGGAAACUGAGGCACAGAGAUGUUAUGUUCAUUGGCAAGUGGUAGAGCUGGAAAUGCCCAAGUCUGUGCUCCAGGCGGCAGGAAGCUCCCUAGACCCUCACAGCUUCUUUGUGCACCUGCUCUGUGGUGCUGGGCAGCUUCUUUCCUCGAUCAAUUCCUCAUUUCCAUGGCUUUAAAAUCAGGGUUUUAGUUUUGGACUAGCUGGUUUCUAAGGGGCCUCCAGCUCUGCCCUGAGCCCAUAACACAGACAAUCACCACCACCGUGGUCAGAGGGAGGAGAGAUGACUCCAAGAGGGGACCAGCCACAGAGGAAACGGGUUUCUGAACAGGGUCUUUAUGGAAGCCUAGAAUUUGGGUUAGGCAGAAAGUCAUUCUAGGAGCGGGGACUGCAGGAGCAAACGCAGGUUGGCGGUGGCCCAUUGUAAGUUAAACUGACAAAGAAUCUGAGGCCAGAGAGGUGAAGUGCCUUGUCCCAGGUCCCAUAGUCGGUUGUGGUGGAGUCAGCAUUCGGGCCCAAGUCAGGCUGUGGUUCCACCCUGUCUGCACACUAGAACCCAACCCUACCCAUGCUGGGUAGGAAUAGUGAUGCUCAGGACUCUUCUGCAGAGAUUCUGAUGUAAAUGAUGUGGAUCCGUCUGCGCAGGACUGUGGUUGGAGCCUGUAGCUCCUGGGCACGGGUAUCCUCAGGGGCCACUCUGUGGGUGUGGCCACGUUCCUGAGCCAGCACCCUGUGCCUCAGACUUAAUGUCACCUGUGGCAAGCAGGUUGGUAUGUGCCCACCUGUGGCUGGGUUCACGUGAUGCUAGUGGGGUUACUUCUGCCCCAGCACUAAAUCCUGGCUACCUUAGGGAUCCCCACGCAGUUACCUCAACCCCUCUGAGUUUUGCAUCCCGUCCAUAAAUUUGAUUGUGUACAUUAUUCAGGUAUUUGGUGAUGUUAAGGCAUCAUCAUUACUUUUUGCUUGUGUUAAUGUAUUGGGAAUAUGUUUUCAAAGAGUUCUUAUCUUUUUUUUGAGAUUUAAUUUUUAAGAAUUUUCUUGGAACCAUAAGUCUCUAGAUAGUAACUUCCUUUUUCUUCUGGACUAAUUUAUCAGUACACUGUUUAGUCGCACGUAAGCAAAACAACAUAAAUACAUUACAACUUUUGACAAAUAAUUAUUAAACAAAAAAAAGUAAAAUGGAAAUGCAUCAAAGAGUUCUUAUCUUUUAGGGAUCUAUACUGAAAUAUUUAUGAAUGAAAUGAUAUAAUACAUGAGAUUUGCUUCCAAAUGAUCCGGGUGGGGAGGGGUGGGCGAGAGUUGAUGAAACAUGAGUUGAUAGCAGUUGACACUGACUGACGACCAGGUAGAAGUUUAUACUAUUCUAAUUUUGCAUAUGUUUGACAUUUCCAUGACAAACGAGGACUUAACUUAAACACUUGGUAGUGCAUCAAAUGGGAAAAUAUACAUCAAGAUGGAAGAUAAAAGCAAAACCAGGGCCAGCGCGAGUUGUGGCCACCCAGAGUCCCGGAUCCGGAGGACAGUGGGAUCUGGCGAGCUGUGCGCGUUCAGCACCGCGGACAGCGGCCCGCGGGCUCUUCCCAGGCCGCCCGAGCAUCGCAGGGAUCUCAGAGCGCAGAGGCUUUCCCUCCGAUUACUGAAAAGAGUCUCGUCAGGACAGAAGGCUACCCAGCCUCUCACACGCCUCCAGAGAUGGGCCUUCACUUCCCACGGGGAAGACUAGUUCUUGGUGGACACUUUUGGCUCAUAAGAAAAUUUUGUUUUCUGCUCUUUAAGGAUAGCUUUGUCAAAAAUCAAUUCAUCAUAUAUGUGUGUGUCUAUCUCUGGGCUGUCUAUCCGGUUCCACUUAUCUAUCUGUCUAUGCUUAUGCCAAUCCCACACUCUCUUGGUUUAUAGCUUUAAGGUAAAUAGCUUUAUAUAGUAAGUCUUGAAAUCAGGUAGUGUGAGCCCUCCAACUUUGCUAUUCUUUUCCAAAAUUGUUUUGACUAUUCUAGGUUCUUUGCUUUUCCAUAUAGAUUUUAGAACUAGCUUGUUAGUUUCUAUGAAAGAGCCUGCUGAGAUUUUGCUUAGGUUUGCAUAGGCUCUAUAGAUAAGGAGGAGAACAGGCCUCUUAACGAUGUUGAGUCUUCCAAUCCAUGAGCAGGGUGUGUGUCUCCAUUUCUUUAAUUUCUCUCAUCAAUGUUUUGUAGCUUUUGUUAUACAAAUCUUGAACCAUAUUUUCUCAGAUUUAUUCCUAAGCAAUUAAUGCUUUUUGAUGCUAUUGCAAGGGGUAUUUUAAAAAUUCCAAUUUCCAGUUGUUUGUUGCUAGUAUGUAGAAAUACAAUUGAUUUUUGUUUGUGGGUCUUGUGUCCUGUGAUCUUGUUAAAUUCACUUAUCAAUUCUAGUAGCUUAUUUUUGUAGAGUUGUCAGGAUUUUCUAUGUUAACAGACGUUUUUCUUUAGAUUUUUAUUCUGAAAAAAUUUAAACCUAUAGAAAAGCUCCAAGAAGUAAUACAACUUUGAUAGGCAGAAUAACACGCCCUCUCGCCCCCAAAAGAUAUCCACGUCCUAAUUCCCAGAACCGGUGAAUAUGUUGCUACAUGUCAAAGGGAAUCAAAGUUGCAGAUGGAAUUAAGGUUGCUAAUCUGCUGACCUUCAAAUGGAUUAUCCUGGGUUACUGGGUGAGCCCAAUAUAAUCACAAGGGUCCUUAAAAGUGGAAGAGGGAGGCAGAAGAAGAGUCAGUAUCAGAGUCACAUGAUGUGAGAAAGCGGCCAUCACUGACUUUGAAGAUGGAGGAAGGGGCCGAGGACUGUGGGCGGCUCUAGAGGCUGGAGAAGGCGAGGAGAUGGAGUCAUCCCUGGGCCUCCAGAAUGCAGCUUUGCUGACAUCUUGACUUCAGCAUAGUGACACCCGCAUUAGACGUCUG